AUGUUUUCUUUGGUUGCUACAAGUGUCGCUUUAGGGGUUAUAAAUGUCACAUCUACAUUUAUUAUAUGCAUAAUGCACAACGCUAAUCUCCCUUAAUCGUCACUCUGGCUUAAUAAUUGUGCAUAUUUGAAGUUUUAUCUUUCAAACUUUAUAUUGACUAUACAUAAAUUCUAGAAUGCAUGUUCAUGUUUUUUAAUUAAUGGCCCAAGCUUAAUCACCACUUUCAGUUAGAAUUUGGAUGCACAUGCCAUUAU
Molecule: long non-coding RNA, 254 nt
Filed under: Carica papaya (papaya)
Lineage: Eukaryota; Viridiplantae; Streptophyta; Magnoliopsida; Brassicales; Caricaceae
Description: long non-coding RNA (CPAP_LNC001781)
Source: RNAcentral